UACGUAGGUGGCGAGCGUUGUCCGGAUUUACUGGGUGUAAAGGGCGCGUAGGCGGGGAUGCAAGUCAGAUGUGAAAUCUCCAGGCUCAACCUGGAAACUGCAUUUGAAACUGCAUUUCUUGAGUAUCGGAGAGGCAGGCGGAAUUCCGUGUGUAGCGGUGAAAUGCGUAGAUAUACGGAAGAACACCAGUGGCGAAGGCGGCCUGCUGGACGACAACUGACGCUGAGGCGCGAAAGCGUGGGGAGCAAACAGG
RNAcentral lists this ribosomal RNA (253 nucleotides) under uncultured Eubacteriales bacterium. RNAcentral describes it as "partial 16S ribosomal RNA". It matches the Rfam family "Bacterial small subunit ribosomal RNA", at positions 524 to 776 of the family's 1533-position model. The record is from RNAcentral. Lineage: Bacteria; Bacillati; Bacillota; Clostridia; Eubacteriales.